AUGCACGCUGGCGGCGUGCCUAAUCCCUGCCAGUCGCGCGAACAGACGAGGAGCUUGCUCCUCUGACGUUAGCGGCGGACGGGUGAGUAACACGUGGAUAACCUACCUAUAAGACUGGGAUAACUUCGGGAAACCGGAGCUAAUACCGGAUAAUAUAUUGAACCGCAUGGUUCCAUAGUGAAAGACGGUUUUGCUGUCACUUAUAGAUGGAUCCGCGCCGCAUUAGCUAGUUGGUAAGGUAACGGCUUACCAAGGCAACGAUGCGUAGCCGACCUGAGAGGGUGAUCGGCCACACUGGAACUGAGACACGGUCCAGACUCCUACGGGAGGCAGCAGUAGGGAAUCUUCCGCAAUGGGCGAAAGCCUGACGGAGCAACGCCGCGUGAGUGAUGAAGGUCUUCGGAUCGUAAAACUCUGUUAUUAGGGAAGAACAAAUGUGUAAGUAACUAUGCACGUCUUGACGGUACCUAAUCAGAAAGCCACGGCUAACUACGUG
Molecule: ribosomal RNA, 496 nt
Filed under: uncultured bacterium
Lineage: Bacteria
Description: partial 16S ribosomal RNA
Rfam family: Bacterial small subunit ribosomal RNA
Source: RNAcentral